GAGUUUGAUCCUGGCUCAGGACGAACGCUGGCGGCAUGCUUAACACAUGCAAGUCAAGGGGUAGCAAUACCACUGGCGCACGGGUGAGUAACACGUAGGUAAUCUGCCCCUAUCACAGACAUAACUCCGGGAAACCGGUGCUAAUAUCUGAUGAGGUCGUGAGAUCAAAGCUUCGGCGGAUAGGGAUGAGCCUGCGGCUGAUUAGCUAGUUGGUGAGGUAAUGGCUCACCAAGGCUACGAUCAGUAGCUGGUCUGAGAGGACGAACAGCCACACUGGAACUGAGACACGGUCCAGACUCCUACGGGAGGCAGCAGUGAGGAAUAUUGGUCAAUGGGAGCAAUCCUGAACCAGCAAUGCCGCGUGUGGGAUGACAGGGCUCAGCCUUGUAAACCACUGUCGGAUGGGACGAAAAGGUGCUUUAAGCACCCGGGACGGUACCAUCAAAGGAAGGGUCGGCUAACUACGUGCCAGCAGCCGCGGUAAUACGUAGGACCCAAGCGUUGUCCGGAUUUACUGGGUAUAAAGGGUGCACAGGCGGUCAGGUGCGUCAGAAGUGAAAUAUCCGGGCUUAACCCGGAGGGUGCUUUUGAUACGGCUUGACUUGAGUCCGAGAGAGGAUGAUGGAAUUCCUGGUGUAGCGGUGAAAUGCGUAGAUAUCAGGAGGAACACCGGUGGCGAAGGCGGUCAUCUGGCUCGGAACUGACGCUCAGGCACGAAAGCGCGGGGAUCAAACAGGAUUAGAUACCCUGGUAGUCCGCGCCCUAAACGAUGUAUGCUUGGUGUUGGGUUCUUCGGAACU
RNAcentral lists this ribosomal RNA (800 nucleotides) under uncultured soil bacterium. RNAcentral's name for it is "bacterial SSU rRNA". It matches the Rfam family "Bacterial small subunit ribosomal RNA", at positions 9 to 840 of the family's 1533-position model. The record is from RNAcentral.